AGCAGCCGCGGUAAUUCCAGCUCCAAUAGCGUAUAUUAAAGUUGUUGCAGUUAAAAAGCUCGUAGUUGAAUUUCGGGGUCAGCAGGUUGGUCGUGCCACUGGUAUGAACUGGCCUCGCUGAUUCCUCCUUCUUGAAGAACCGUGAUGCCAUUAAUUUGGUGUUGCGGGGAAACAGGACUGUUACUUUGAAAAAAUUAGAGUGUUUAAAGCAGGCUAACGCUUGAAUACAUUAGCAUGGAAUAAUAAAAUAGGACGUUUGAUCCUAUUUUGUUGGUUUCUAGGGUUGACGUAAUGAUUAAUAGGGAUAGUUGGGGGCAUUAGUAUUCAAUUGUCAGAGGUGAAAUUCUUGGAUUUAUUGAAGACUAACUACUGCGAAAGCAUUUGCCAAGGAUGUUUUCAUUAAUCAAGAACGAAAGUUAGGGGAUCGAAGACGAUCAGAUACCGUCGUAGUCUUAACCAUAAACUAUGCCGACUAGGGAUCGGAUGAUGUUAAUUUUUUAAUGACUCA
Molecule: ribosomal RNA, 508 nt
Filed under: uncultured Glomus
Lineage: Eukaryota; Fungi; Glomeromycota; Glomeromycetes; Glomerales; Glomeraceae
Description: SSU rRNA
Rfam family: Eukaryotic small subunit ribosomal RNA
Source: RNAcentral